AGACAGCGGAGAUUCAUUACCCGCCGACACAAUGACCAUUGAUGGCCCCGUGGCGUUAUUCAAAUCCAGUACCAAUUGCAGCCGAGCCCCUUUCUCCGCGCCAGGCCCGUAUUGUUGGAGCGGCCCACUAAAAGCCCGCCCCGGCCCCGAGCCGCCAGAGGCGCCCGCUCGGGCUCAGCCCUGCGCCUCGCCAGCUCGCCGGCUCCCAGCCCGGCUCCCCGGGCGCUGCAGGUGACCCGGCGGCGCAUUCCAGCGCUCCCCGCCGUCCCAGCCACUGCCGCCACUGCUACCGCCGGCGCCCCGGCCGCGACUCAGCCACAGGGAAGCGGAGAGCGCCCGAGCCGGGACCCCGGGCCGCGAUCGAAGGAGACACGCGCCAGGAGCGACCGGGAUCCCCACGCAGGGUCGGGAUCCGCGUGCUUGCUCGUCCACCUUACCGCGGGAUGGGCCGCGACUGCCGAGCAUCUGCGAGGUCCGCGAAUCUCCGGAGAUCUGGUCCGGCGCUUUUAAGGAGCGAGGCGGAACCCCGCAGGAGACCGGGGCCCUGAACUCAGGGGCUUCGCCACUGAUUGUCCAAACGCAAUUCUUGUACGAGUCUGCGGCCAACCGAGAAUUGUGGCUGGACAUCUGUGGCUGAGCUCCGGGCACGACAGGGGCGGGAGCCGCAGGGACCGAGCUCAACGCGGGCGAGACUCCUCGGGGUGGCGGCUGGCUGGACCCAGCGCGAGGAUCGCGGCCCUGGCCAGGCGCGCGAAGGAGGGACACCGGUCCCUGUCACCAGCGCCGCCAUCCUCCUCCCCUCGUCGUCGUCCUCGUUCUCCUCCUCCUCUGCGGGUGACCAGUCCUGGCUGGCGGGGUCCUCCAGGCGAUAGCGUCGUUUUUCCCUUUUUCAAAUUUCGGCCGGGAACGAAGCUGGCACGCCGCGGCGCGGCCCAAAUGUGGUCCGGGGAGCUCGCCCUCGGCCCGAGCCGCAGAAAGUCCGGGAGAAAGAAGAUGCCGGCGGACUGCGCUUGCUAACUCGUUUUGAAUUGAUUCUAACCCAUCCUCCCCCACCAGUAUGCCCUAAGCAAGCCUAAACCGACCCCUAAAUCCCAAAUAAACCGACCCCUCCCGCCAGCCCCUCCAGACCGACCCAUGGGCUGAGUCUCCUCCAGCCGCGGCUGGAGUGGGAGAAGCGUCGGGAAUGAUGCGCUCAUUGCCCCAGCGGGGCAAUCGCCUCGGCUUUGGAAAUAGAACUUGGACAAACGAAUUCUUUUCAUUAAAGAUAAAUUUUUGGA
This is a non-coding RNA of Delphinapterus leucas (beluga whale), 1277 nucleotides long. The record is from RefSeq and is a predicted model, not a curated record. Lineage: Eukaryota; Metazoa; Chordata; Mammalia; Artiodactyla; Monodontidae.